UACGUAGGUGGCAAGCGUUGUCCGGAUUUACUGGGCGUAAAGGGCGCGUAGGCGGCCACUGCAAGUCGGUUGUGAAAUCUCCGGGCUUAACCCGGAAAGGUCAAUCGAUACUGCAGGGCUAGAGUGCGGAAGGGGCAACUGGAAUUCUCGGUGUAGCGGUGAAAUGCGUAGAUAUCGAGAGGAACACCUGCGGCGAAGGCGGGUUGCUGGGCCGACACUGACGCUGACAGCGCGAAAGCUAGGGGAGCGAACGGG
This 255-nucleotide ribosomal RNA is filed under the name uncultured bacterium. RNAcentral's name for it is "partial 16S ribosomal RNA". It matches the Rfam family "Bacterial small subunit ribosomal RNA", at positions 524 to 776 of the family's 1533-position model. The record is from RNAcentral.